This is a long non-coding RNA of Stegodyphus dumicola, 269 nucleotides long. RefSeq lists it as uncharacterized. The record is from RefSeq and is a predicted model, not a curated record. NCBI's taxonomy places the organism in Eukaryota, Metazoa, Arthropoda, Arachnida, Araneae, Eresidae.
CAACACUUCUGCCUUCUUAACUGCAGAAAAUCUUCCCAGGGUGUUAUUUGGUCAUAUUAGUAAACUCAGAUGGAUCGUUUUACCUACCUAAUUUCUUCUAUUGGUGGAAUUCUUGAUGGAAAAUGUAAGGUGGUCGCUGAAGAAAAUUGCUCCUUGAAAAAAAGGUCGAUGCAAGAAAAAGUUUGGGAGUCCUUGUUCUAGGUGAUUCACCCACGGAUGGUAAAAAUGUAACGUAGAUUAAACACAAACAAUAAAAGUGUUGAAAAAUG